Molecule: long non-coding RNA, 3676 nt
Organism: Antechinus flavipes (yellow-footed antechinus)
Lineage: Eukaryota; Metazoa; Chordata; Mammalia; Dasyuromorphia; Dasyuridae
Exons: 3
Source: RefSeq, a predicted model, not a curated record
GCUAGGCUCAAGUAUCAGUUCCCAUAGAGCUGAUUUUCCAGAUCCUCAGCUUUUGAUGUUUCAGUUUUUCUCAGUUAUUCCCUUUUAAUUUGUUUAUUUAAAACUAAAUAAAAAAUAAGAAAAAGACAAAUAAAAAAGAGAAGAAAAAGUAAAAACAAAACAAAACAUUUUCAUGUGUUCAGCAGAACAUCAGGGAGGAUUCAAAAUAUGUAAUGGUAAAUUUCCAUUUCAAAAAAAAUCUUAUAGUAAUGACAUAAUAUUCACCAGUGUCCAUCUUUUUUUUCCUUCCUUGUAGGUUAUUCUUUAAGUCUUUGUUGUGCACUUUUUAUAUUAUUCUUUUUUCCCCUUUAUACCCUCUUUCAUUCCCCCCUCCAACAGGCUAUACAUAAUCAAGGAUAUAAUUAUGUAUACAUACACACACAUUUGCACACCUGUAUAUCUACACACACAUAUACCUACAUGCAAACAUAUAGACAUAUAAACACACAUUUACGCAUAUGUAAACAUACAUCUCAAACAAUAUUAAUCAAUUAUUUUUAGCCCUACAUUUUUUUCCUAAUAAAUUCUAUUCUUAAUCUUUGUUAUAGUGUUUGUGAAUAUCUUAUUUCCUAUCCCUGCUAACUUUUCUACUUUUGUUCUAUUCCUUAACUUGCCUUAUUAUUACUUAACCCUUCCCUAUUUUGGAUCCCUCCCUUACAUUCUCCUUCCACUCUUUCCUCCCUUUUUAUUCCUUUCCUAAUAAUGUAUACACCUUGUCCCGUUUUCAUAAAUCUAUAUAUCCUUCUAUACUCUAUCUUAUCCUAUUCUCUACCCCCUUAUUUCUUUAUAGAUUUUGGAGGGAGCUGUACCCUUCAUGAUAGAUACAUACAUAUAUAUGUACGCAUGUAUGUAUGUAUUAUUCCCUGUUUAACCUAUUUCUGAUGUGAGUAAAUUUUCAGAACUACCAGUCUCCUCUCCCUUCUCUAAUUCCUCUGUGUAGGUUCUUUCUCUGAACUUCAUUCGGAUAGCAUAAUUACUGUUUUUAUCUUUUCCUAGAUAGUUUUGCUUUUUAGAGUCAAAUCAUACUCAAUUCCACCCCACUUUUUCUUUUAGAUGACCCAAUUACUAACAUCAGUCUUAGAUAUAUAGUUUGCAUUUCCACAUAUUGAAACCAUAAACAGUUUGUUGUUAUUGAGGCUCUUGAAAUUAGUUUUUGAUAUUGGCUUUUAUAUGUUCCAUUUUCUAUUGAGUUCAGGUUAAGUUGAGAUAGAAUCCUUAAAAUCUACGAGUUUAUUAAAUGUCCAUUUUUUUCAUUCAAUAUUAUGCUUAAUUUUGCUGGAUAUAGUAUUUUUGGCUGCAAGUUUAAUUCUUUUGAUUGUCAAUACAUAUUUUCCAGGACCUGCAGUCUUUUAUUAUAGCUGCUGAGAAGUCCUGUAAAAUUCUACUUGUAGUGCCAACAUAUUUGAAUGAUAGUCAUGGUUGUUGUUUCUUGUAAAAUUUUCUCUUUGAUCUUGGGGUUUCAAAAUUUAGCAAUAAUGUUCCUAUGUGUUUUCCUUAUAGCUUCUCUUUGAGAUGGUGAUUUAUGGGUUUCUUUUUUUUUUUUUUUUUCCCCUAUUUCUAUUUUCCCUUCUUGUUCUAUCACUUCAGGACCAUUUUCUUUGAUUAUUUCUUAUAUUAUUGUGUUAAGGCUCUUUUUUUGGUCCCAGCUUUCGGUUAGUCCAAUUAUUCUUGUUUCUCUUCUUGAGUAACAUGUUCUUCAGAUCUGUUAUUUUUCUUAUGUUUCACAUCAUGUUCUAUUUUUUCAUUCUUUAUAUUCUGUUUUGUUAUUUCUUGGUCUCUUAUAGUCUCACUGGCUUCCCCUUGUGCCAGUUCUAAUUUGCAAAAAAUUAUUUUCUCCUUUAAGACUCUGGAUCUCCUUUCCUAGUCAGCUGGCUUUGUUUUUAUAAUCUUCUUAUUUUUCUUGGAUGGUUCUCAUUUUAGUUUAGUUUAGUUUUAAUUUUUCCUCAAUCUCUCUCAUUUUAUUUUAUUUAUUUAUUUUAUUAAAGCUUUUUAUUUAUAAAACAUACACAUAGGUAAUUUUUCAACAUGGAAUCUUAAAGCCUUUUGUUCCAAAUUAUCCCCUCCUUUCCCCCACCUCUUCCCCUAGAUGGCAGGUAGUCCAAUACAUGUUAAAUAUGUUCAAAUAUGUUAUAUUUAAUAUAUCUCAUUUUAUUUUAAAAGAGUUUUUUUGAGUUCUAGAAAUUAUCUCUGGGCAAGUUGCCAUUUGCCUUUACUCUUUGGGGUAGAAGAAUCUUUUUUUACUUCAGUAUCCUCCUUUGAAGAUAAACGCUGGUCUUCCCUAUUCCCAUGUUUAAAUCCCACCUCUACCGGGAAGCACUGAUCAGUUCAGCCUGGGAUGUUCUCCAUAGUGAUAUGGAAAGCCACAAGCUGUUUGCUUCAACUCUCAGCCUCCGAAUGCCGAGCUGGCUCCGGCAACAUGAACAUCUCGAUGUCCCUGGAAGGCCUGCUGCUGAGGUAAGAGAAGGUAUCCCUGGAUCCAGAGCCUCCUCACCUGCCGUAACUGGGUUCCACUACGGACAGAAUGGCUGCUGACUGGCGGAGCGCCGGCUGUCUUGCUCUUCGGCCAAAAUGAGCCCACGGGGCAGAGAACCGACCCGUAGUUUGUGGCAUCCCAGCUUCAGAGGCUGCACUGAAAGCGCCAGGGGGUAGGGUAUGUGUAGGGCGACCACUGGUACAUACUUGGGUGGGAGGGACACCAAGCCCUUUUUGGAGUUGCUUUCCCAGCUGAAACUAUGGUAAAAUUAAAUGGCAUUAAUAUUUGGACCUCCAGAUUUAUAGCCUGCAAAAACAACACAAUUCUUAGCUCAUUAGAAUAUAAAACUUAGUAGACACCCUCUAGGCUAGCAUUUCUUGUAAACAACAUAUGGAUUCUUCCUCCUCAUCCACUAUGUUGAGCUCUUUGAGUUGGAGCCAUCCACAUACUUAAGAUCACUGCCUAUUUUCCUCCAUCUUAUUCUGAGACUUUCCUUGUUUCUCACUCCCUCUUUACAAAGGUGGCGGUGAGAAAGUUGGGUGCAAUCUGUUUUUGCUCUCCUGCCCAAGAUCUUUCUUUUGCUCGUUACUCAAUUACAAGCUAUUUUUUCUUUUAACUCCUUCUAGAUCCUGUUUGUUUUGCUUAGGACUACUCCCUCCUUUCCUCUGCCUUUUCUCAUGUCCCCAUUUCUCUAGUAAACAUUUUGUCUCUCUAUACCCAAUUAUGUGUCUAAAUAUCUUUUUCUACCUUUGACUGGUUCAGAUGUGUGAGGUUCAAGGCUCAGCCUCAUUGCCUCCUCUUCCUUGUUCUUGCGUUGCCCUCAAUGAUGCACGCCUACGGGAGAGAAUUUUCUUCCUUCUUCUGUUCUGUUUCCUUGCCCACUGAAUUCCUUUCUAUUUUUUUUUUUCCAAUCAUUAAAAUAGAAUCAAUCCCAAACCCUGUUAAAAGCUCCAUGGAUCUUUCCAACAAUAAGAGUCCUUAGGGGAUACGUCUAUCAUCAGCUCAUAUCAGAAUGUAAACAGUUUUUCCUUGUUUUGUCCUUUAUGAUUACUCAUUGUGUUUGCCUUUUUAUACUUCCAAUUCUUGUGUAUUUCAAAAUUUGUAUGCAGCUCGGUCUUAUAAGAAAUACUCUAUUUCACUAAUAAAGAUCUAUUUUCACCCCUA